This 598-nucleotide ribosomal RNA is filed under the name Staphylococcus aureus. Its description in RNAcentral is "bacterial SSU rRNA". It matches the Rfam family "Bacterial small subunit ribosomal RNA", at positions 202 to 792 of the family's 1533-position model. Lineage: Bacteria; Bacillati; Bacillota; Bacilli; Caryophanales; Staphylococcaceae. The record is from RNAcentral.
GACGGUCUUGCUGUCACUUAUAGAUGGAUCCGCGCUGCAUUAGCUAGUUGGUAAGGUAACGGCUUACCAAGGCAACGAUGCAUAGCCGACCUGAGAGGGUGAUCGGCCACACUGGAACUGAGACACGGUCCAGACUCCUACGGGAGGCAGCAGUAGGGAAUCUUCCGCAAUGGGCGAAAGCCUGACGGAGCAACGCCGCGUGAGUGAUGAAGGUCUUCGGAUCGUAAAACUCUGUUAUUAGGGAAGAACAUAUGUGUAAGUAACUGUGCACAUCUUGACGGUACCUAAUCAGAAAGCCACGGCUAACUACGUGCCAGCAGCCGCGGUAAUACGUAGGUGGCAAGCGUUAUCCGGAAUUAUUGGGCGUAAAGCGCGCGUAGGCGGUUUUUUAAGUCUGAUGUGAAAGCCCACGGCUCAACCGUGGAGGGUCAUUGGAAACUGGAAAACUUGAGUGCAGAAGAGGAAAGUGGAAUUCCAUGUGUAGCGGUGAAAUGCGCAGAGAUAUGGAGGAACACCAGUGGCGAAGGCGACUUUCUGGUCUGUAACUGACGCUGAUGUGCGAAAGCGUGGGGAUCAAACAGGAUUAGAUACCCUGGUA